This 425-nucleotide ribosomal RNA is filed under the name uncultured bacterium. RNAcentral's name for it is "partial 16S ribosomal RNA". It matches the Rfam family "Bacterial small subunit ribosomal RNA", at positions 354 to 796 of the family's 1533-position model. The record is from RNAcentral.
GUGGGGAAUCUUGCGCAAUGGGCGAAAGCCUGACGCAGCCAUGCCGCGUGAAUGAUGAAGGUCUUAGGAUUGUAAAAUUCUUUCACCGGGGACGAUAAUGACGGUACCCGGAGAAGAAGCUCCGGCUAACUUCGUGCCAGCAGCCGCGGUAAUACGAAGGGGGCUAGCGUUGCUCGGAAUUACUGGGCGUAAAGGGCGCGUAGGCGGACAGCUUAGUCUGAGGUGAAAGCCCAGGGCUCAACCUUGGAAUUGCCUUUGAUACUGGCUGUCUUGAGUUUGGGAGAGGUGAGUGGAACUCCGAGUGUAGAGGUGAAAUUCGUAGAUAUUCGGAAGAACACCAGUGGCGAAGGCGACUCACUGGCCCAAUACUGACGCUGAGGCGCGAAAGCGUGGGGAGCAAACAGGAUUAGAUACCCCUGUAGUCC